GUCCAUAAUGACUCUCGGCAACGGAUAUCUCGGCUCUUGCAUCGAUGAAGAACGUAGCGAAAUGCGAUACUUGGUGUGAAUUGCAGAAUCCCGUGAACCAUCGAGUCUUUGAACGCAAGUUGCGCCCGAAGCCAUUAGGCUAAGGGCACGCCUGCCUGGGUGUCACCGA
Molecule: ribosomal RNA, 169 nt
Filed under: Aeschynomene elaphroxylon
Lineage: Eukaryota; Viridiplantae; Streptophyta; Magnoliopsida; Fabales; Fabaceae
Description: 5.8S ribosomal RNA
Rfam family: 5.8S ribosomal RNA
About the family: 5.8S ribosomal RNA (5.8S rRNA) is a component of the large subunit of the eukaryotic ribosome. It is transcribed by RNA polymerase I as part of the 45S precursor that also contains 18S and 28S rRNA. Functionally, it is thought that 5.8S rRNA may be involved in ribosome translocation.
Source: RNAcentral